CUGAUGUCGUGCACUCAUUUUCUUUUUGCUUAGUGUGGUUCUCUUUGUGCAGUGACUUUUAUUUCGUUGGCCAGUGCCAGUAUGUAGAGUGAAGUGCCUUGUAAGUAAUGUGUGUUUGAACGUGUGUUGAAAAAAGCGACACUUAGGCGACCUCGAGUGGUUUAGGAUUUGAUCAAUGCAUGAAAGUGGGACAAAAGAUGGAGAAAUAAGUAACUAUAGUCACAUAACUCAUGAAUGUAUGAUAAUGUCAAAUUCUUUGUAUAAAUGUACCAAUUUUCCUAUCUAACAUAGGAUUAGUCUAGCAGCCUAUAAAAAAGUAUAAAUUGCCGCCUUGCCUAGGUGCUAGGGCGAGCCUGACCGCCUGCCUAGCACCUAGCACUUUUUGAAACCUUGGUUUGAACUAGUUUUGUAUUUAUUAUUCUUCUUUAAUGAAAUAAUACGCAGCUCACCUGCAUAUUCGGUGAGAAGAAAAAGAAGUAUUAGUUUUACUUUUUUUUUUCUCAAACACGCAGGAGAAGUAUCAGUUUUACUGUAUGACAAUGUGCUAGCUGGUUUUUACAAUUUUGCAUCCCAGAGAACCAACGUUUGAGGCUUUGAACCACACAAAUUGGAUUUACACUUACUUGAAUGGUAAUUCAGAAAAAAGAGUUACUGCUGUUUUCAGAACAGAAUAAAUCUGUUGCUGAUGGUCUAUUGAAUUCUGAACUAAGAAAAAACACGAGAAAAUGCUAUGUUUCUAACUUUUCCAGCAGGGUUGUUAGAAGCUAGUUGAAGCUUGAUAGUGGAACACUAUUCUGUUAUAAGUUAUUGUAGACUAAGAAAGAGUUUCUCCAAUCUGCUUUUUGUUCAUAGCCUCAUAUCGUCAAGUUUAUGUCAUGUAUCUUGUUUCAAUUUCGAAUCUUGAAGACAAAUGACCAUAGCAUGUUAUAUUGGGAAUAGUUUUGCCUCACCUGUUUGCUCUGGCAAAAAGU
Panicum virgatum (switchgrass) is the source of this 971-nucleotide long non-coding RNA. RefSeq lists it as uncharacterized. The record is from RefSeq and is a predicted model, not a curated record. The transcript has 2 exons. NCBI's taxonomy places the organism in Eukaryota, Viridiplantae, Streptophyta, Magnoliopsida, Poales, Poaceae.